This 304-nucleotide small nuclear RNA is filed under the name Peromyscus maniculatus bairdii (prairie deer mouse). RNAcentral describes it as "7SK RNA (ENSPEMG00000003856.2)". The stretch from base 1 to 252 matches the Rfam family "7SK RNA". Rfam says of the family: 7SK was discovered as an abundant small nuclear RNA in the mid-70s but a possible function has only recently been suggested. The record is from RNAcentral. Lineage: Eukaryota; Metazoa; Chordata; Mammalia; Rodentia; Cricetidae.
UGAGGGCAAUUUGGCUGCAACUGUUACCCCAUCAGUCCCCAGAGCUGAUGCUGUUUAUUUAUCUGGCUAGGCCAGUGUCUCCUUCUCAGACCACUCAAUGUUCAUCCCCUUGGAGCUGCACACUUGGAGAUAGAGGUUGGUGUUCUCCGGACAAAGACACAAGAGUAGCUAUUCUCCCAUUCCAGAACCUCCAAACAAGCUCUCAGGAAUAAGACUCAUGCCCAGCAUGGUGGCACAGGCCUGUAAUCCCAGCGCUCAGAAGGAAGAGCCAGACAGAUCUCUGAGAAAGAGGCCAGCCUGGUCU